This 292-nucleotide ribosomal RNA is filed under the name uncultured bacterium. RNAcentral describes it as "partial 16S ribosomal RNA". It matches the Rfam family "Bacterial small subunit ribosomal RNA", at positions 505 to 796 of the family's 1533-position model. The record is from RNAcentral.
GUGCCAGCAGCCGCGGUAAGACAGAGGGUGCAAACGUUGUUCGGAAUUACUGGGCGUAAAGCGCGUGUAGGCGGCUAUGUAAGUCGGACGUGAAAGCCCACGGCUCAACUGUGGAAGUGCGCUCGAAACUGUGUAGCUUGAGUCUUGGAGAGGAAGGCGGAAUACUUGGUGUAGAGGUGAAAUUCGUAGAUAUCAGGUAGAACACCAGUGGCGAAGGCGGCCUUCUGGACAAUGACUGACGCUGAGACGCGAAAGCGUGGGGAGCAAACAGGAUUAGAAACCCCCGUAGUCC